GACGAACGCUGGCGGCGUGGAUUAGGCAUGCAAGUCGAACGGUAUCAUCCUUUCGGGGGUGAGAGAGUGGCGAACUGGUGAGUAACACGUAGGUUAUCUACCCUCAAGACGGGGACAACCCAGGGAAACUUGGGCUAAUACCGGAUGUGAGCAACUUUUUAGUUGUUUGAAAGGUGGCGUAAGCUGUCGCUUGGGGAUGAGCCUGCGUCCUAUUAGUUAGUUGGUGAGGUAACGGCUCACCUAGGCAAUGAUAGGUAGGCGGCCUUAACGGGUGGUCGCCCACACUGGGAUUGAGAUACGGCCCAGACUCCUACGGGAGGCAGCAGUCGAGAAUAGUCUACAAUGGUCGGAAGACUGAUAGUGCGACGCCGCGUGAACGAUGAAUCCCUUCGGGGUGUAAAGUUCUUUUAUAUGUGAGCAGUGCUUCUUAUAUUAACAGUAUGGGGAAGAGAUAUUAGCAUAUGAAUAAGCAACGGCUAAACUCCGUGCCAGCAGCCGCGGU
This 502-nucleotide ribosomal RNA is filed under the name uncultured bacterium. RNAcentral describes it as "bacterial SSU rRNA". It matches the Rfam family "Bacterial small subunit ribosomal RNA", at positions 28 to 521 of the family's 1533-position model. The record is from RNAcentral.